CUUCACAUUGCACAUACAACAAAAUUCACAUUAUUAGCACAGCAACUAUACCUCAUAGGAUGAAAAUACUUGUAAAACAUACAAAAUCAAGUUCUUGAUAUACCGAUAAACUAAGAGUUUAUUUUACUCCAACAAUGGACAUUAGAAACCUAAGUCUAUCACCGACUUCCACCAGAUCAGAGGAAUCCUUGAUUGAGGCAGGUGGCCCAACUCCAGUGAAAAUGUAAAGAGCCUUAACCUCCUCAAUACAUGUCCUAUGCCGUGCAGCUGUAUAUCCCAGUAUUGUGCACAUUGCAUCAAUUUGUUUCCAUAUAUUCUCCUCGCUAUAAGGCACCUGAUCAGAAAUUCCACUAUGUUCCAGCGCAUGUUCCCUUGAUGGAAUAGUGAGUUCCAAGGAAUCAGCAUUUUCUUUGAGUUUGUAACCUGGCUGCUCACUCCCUUCUGGCGUUCCAUAAUCUACAGAGGAAUUCUGCAGGUCAGCUGCAUUUUUAUCAUCAAACAAGUUGAAUGCACUUUCAUCUGCAAUUUCUCUUGCAUCUACAUUUGAAGAAAUUGUAAUCUCCUCAUCCCUAUUGAGUUGAUGAUCUAGUUUGCCAUGUUUAACCAUAUGUUCCUGUGCUCUUCCUGCAGACUUCUCCUCUUCUUUAAUGUUAUCAUCAGCUCUUUUGCCAAAUACUUGUUCCUUUGGGACAACAGGUGCUCUUUCUGUAGCUCCCUUCCAUUCCACCUCCACAGUUUCAAGUAAAUUUACCUUGUCACCAUUUUCUUCUAUUCUGCGAUCAAUUGUCCUGGCCUCUAUGCCAACCUGGCCAUAAGCAUUUCUUUCUCCUAACUGUGUUGUGGCUUCUUUGACAUUUCUAUUGGUUUCCGUUAGCCCUUCCUCUACAUCACUGUGCAAAUCUUCUGCACUCUGCUUGUCUUUGUCCACUCCUUUAUCAGCUUUACCCUCAUCCCUAAUUUUUUCUACUAGUCUUCUAGUCUCCCUCAUUAAUUCCUCAUUGUCUUCAUUAUCUCCUCCCUGACAUAAUUCUACAGCCACAUUUGUUACUUCAAAUGGUACCUCCUCCUCUUUAGUAUUGCUGCCACUGUUCUCCUUUCCCUCAAUUACUAUCAUAACUCCACAUGUCUCCUCUGCUGCAUCCAUGUUUUUUUGCUGCUGGUGGAUCUUCUUUCUCCUUUUCCCUUAUUCCUUCAAUUUGCAUGUCAAUCUCUUUUGAUGAUUCUUCUUCUUCUUUUUUUACAUCCUCAUUGACAUCUACAUCACAUCCAUUCUUCUCCACAGUUUCAUCCUUAUUAUUCAAGAACUCUUUCUCAUCCUCCUCAAUUCCCUUUUGAGCAUAAAUGUAACCCAUCAAAACAUUCACUUCAUCCUCAUUUCCCUUCUCAUCCGGCACAAACCUUAUCUCAGCCAUUCUUUUUAGCUCUGUUUCCUCUUCUUCCAUAUCAUUAUUUCCCCCAAACUUUCCAUCUUCUCCUCCAUAUUUUUGCAGACCAUCUUCCACGAUAAUAGGAUUUCUGGGACUUGGAAGUAAUUUAUUCAUGAUCUUCUCAGUGCAAGCAUAGGUUGCUAAGAAAAGUCCAUAGGGGACUGAACAAGCAAACCCAAGUGCUGAGAUAACAACAAGAGGUGGAAGAACCACUGGUGCAGAAGAUAAGACAAAACCAGUAAUCAACAUCUUCUUUCCGAAAGCCAAUCCUUUAUCAAAAAUCCAGCUCACCUUUCCACUGUUUCCUUCAUAUCCCCGGUUCUCCCACUCCAUAGCCUGGUCUUCCAUUCUGAUUAUAGAGGUUUAACGGCGGGCAUCAAUGAAUCCUGUAAUGGGUUAAUGUAGGAGGAGAGAAAAGCGAGAGAGUAUAGUCGUCGAGUUGAGAUUUGAGAGGGUGGUGGAAAUAAGAAGAAGUAUUAGUUGAUGACACGCGUAGGAAAGAGGAGAGAGACAAAGAGGGAGAUCUGGCAGUAUCUGCAUGGUGCUCAUGGAGCAGAUGAUCAUUGAUGGAUAAGCUUUACCCAUUUCAACGUGGCUGCUGGUGACCAUCGCCAUUAACUCGAAUGAUAGAAAGAAAAUUUGCCCAUUUGCAACAUCUCAUCGGCUAACCAAAUACAGAUGCUGGAAACUCCCUUCUUCCUUUCUGUUCU
Molecule: unclassified non-coding RNA, 2137 nt
Filed under: Hevea brasiliensis (rubber tree)
Lineage: Eukaryota; Viridiplantae; Streptophyta; Magnoliopsida; Malpighiales; Euphorbiaceae
Source: RNAcentral